RNAcentral lists this signal recognition particle RNA (202 nucleotides) under Pseudobutyrivibrio xylanivorans. RNAcentral's name for it is "signal recognition particle sRNA large type". It matches the Rfam family "Bacterial large signal recognition particle RNA". From Rfam's summary of the family: The signal recognition particle (SRP) is a universally conserved ribonucleoprotein involved in the co-translational targeting of proteins to membranes. The record is from RNAcentral. Lineage: Bacteria; Bacillati; Bacillota; Clostridia; Lachnospirales; Lachnospiraceae.
CCGAGCAAAGCUAAAUAUAGAUAUCAUUUGGUGGCUAUCCUGCAGGAGUUUUGAUCUUUGGGUCCUGCGUAAUGGGCACCUGCGAAUCGUGUCAGGGCAGGAAUGCAGCAGCACUAAGUAGGACCGUUCAUCUGACGCGGGGUCGCCUGGAGGGAGUUUCUACAGGGUGGCUUCCAAUUGGUAUCUAUAGGUGGCGGCUCGG